This 249-nucleotide ribosomal RNA is filed under the name uncultured bacterium. Its description in RNAcentral is "partial 16S ribosomal RNA". It matches the Rfam family "Bacterial small subunit ribosomal RNA", at positions 99 to 334 of the family's 1533-position model. The record is from RNAcentral.
CGAACGGGUGAGUAACGCGUGGGUAACCUACCCAGAAGUGGGGGAUAGCUCCGGGAAACCGGAGAUAAUACCGCAUACGUCCCAGCCGACGCGAGUUGGCUGGAGGAAAGCGGGGAUCUUCGGACCCGUCGCUUCUGGAUGGGCCCGCGUCCGAUUAGCUUGUUGGUGGGGGUAAUGGCCUACCAAGGCAUCGAUCGGUAGCCGGCCUGAGAGGGUGAUCGGCCACAUUGGGACUGAGACACGGCCCAG